RNAcentral lists this long non-coding RNA (12332 nucleotides) under Fragaria vesca (wild strawberry). RNAcentral describes it as "long non-coding RNA (FVES_LNC000132)". The record is from RNAcentral. Lineage: Eukaryota; Viridiplantae; Streptophyta; Magnoliopsida; Rosales; Rosaceae.
GAAAGAUCUCACUUGCUCCGGGGUGUGUAUGCAAAGGGACAACCGCACCGGGUGCCAUGUCUACACGAGCCAUUGAAAGGCCAAGGCCAUUCAAAGCAGGAACCUCAUUGUAGGACGCUAGAGUAAUUGCAUCUCUGGUAAUGGUUGAGGUAUUACCGGCAACGCCUAGGCUCGAGUAUACGAAAUCAUCUACCGUAACAUUUUCAGGCCUUUUGCAGGAGUAGCCUGCAGGACUAGAAGGAGCUGUGUAGUCUGCAACGCAAAAGUCUUGCACAGCAGCAUAGGAGGUGGAGAGAAUGAAAGAAAACAUAAAGAUGAAGAAAACUGCCAUCUAGCUUUGAUCAACUGUCUGGCUAGUUUUCGAUGUGAUUUGGUGAGGAACUUGGGGGUCAUAUAUAUAUAGUGGGGAUUCACGGUAUAACAAUGUAGGAUUCACGUUUAACUUAAUUCAUUAUAAUUUAAUGUUAGGUAAACUAGACUUUUUACGUACAAAAAUGAUCGAUAUUUCAUGAACGUUAGGUAAGUUAUUUUCAAUGUAUACUCGACAGAUAGGUACUCGUUGAGAAAAUUAAGAAAUGCAUUUGGACCAUACGUAUUUGUAUAUCAGUAUAUGUAUAGCUAGCUAGGGUCGAUGAACUUCAAACUUGAUUAGGAUCAACCACUACCUUGGCUUACUGCUGUACGUUAAAAACUUAAAAUUAUAGUGUUACAUGCUUGUCUUCUCCUAGUUUACCCUCCAAUGUUAGGUAAACUGUAUUUUUUCCUUCUCCAUCAAAAUAAGAAAUGAAAAAUAAGGGACAUGGAUGAAGAAAGGAGCAAAAAAUAGCUUCUUCCUGUUUCUGAAACUCCAGGAACAACAAUAAGAAAUGCACCCGUCCUUUAAUUAUAUCACUGCUGCAAAUCAGUUUCGUCUCUUUCGUGAAGGUAAAUCCAACCCUAGCUAUUGAUGAAACAUCACUUUUUUGGCCAAUACCUAAAUUGGUGUUGAAGAAGAUUGAAAAGGGGUUAGGUUUACUCAAAUCAUAUUCAGCUUCAAUCCCUUUGAGUCCCUCUCCUGCGCCAGCUUCAGUCUCCACUGCAUCGCUCCCCAACGAGCUAGCUCGACGGCCUCAAGUCCUAUACGGCUACCGGCCGCUCAACACCCUCAGCUAGACCUCCAAAGCCUCACUCCUGCAUCAUUUGCAUGAUUAGGUUGGAGCCUGAGAACGAAAGUAAUUAAGAUCGUAUUAUAGGAAUCAAAGAAGUCAGCAAGGUACAUUGUUUGCUGCAAGAUUUUGUUAUAAACCUUAUCUUUGAACUUUCUUUUGAAAUGUGAAAACUACGUAGGACAUGAAUACAAAACUCCUUAAAAGAAGAAACAAAAAAAUAAAAAAACAAAAAGUGGUUUGAGAGACUUUAAUUUGAGCUUAGACUUUCCUCACCAAAUGGAGAGACGUUCACGACGAGAAUGACGACGACAUUAGUACGACAAUCGUUUAUGUGCAAAGAUACCUAAAAGAUAGAGAAGCAUUUUAUUCGGAGAUUAUCAAUCUCCUAGGUAUUUAACUAUUUAUAUAAAUUAUCAGUUGAAAAUAGAACUCGACUAGAAUUAGGAUUUAUAAUAAUCCAUACUAAUCCCAGAUUACUAGUUCAGCUAAUAAUCAAACCCAAGUCCCCAACUUGGUUGGAUAAACUUAAAUUCUUCGAUAACAAACACUUAUAUUAUUUCUAUUCAUAAAGAAAAAAAAACAUUUAUAUUAUUCCAGUAGGCAUACAGCUAAGAGAAGCAUAUCAUAAUAUCAUCAUUUUUGGUCCCAUGCACAUUAAAAUUCCCAACUCAGAUGCUGAAUCUGGUUCUUUAUCUCUAUCCUUGACUGAUUGGGAGCUUCUCUUCAUCAUAUCUCUUUUCUAUUCUAUCAAUCUAAGCUAACACAUAUUCCCCAUCAUAUUGUAUAAAUUAUUUUGCUAAUUAGAUUAUAUAUAUAUAUGGGUUUUCUCUGCUACGGACGUCUGUACGAGUUUUCCGUACGGAUUUCCGUCGUUUCUCCACCAUUUCAGCACCGGCGACGCCGUUUCUUCUCCCCGGCGUGAUCCUAUAUCUCCCCCGACAGUGUUGGAAUGAAGAAGAAGGCCGGAGACAUCGCGAUCGGAGGUCCACCAUGAUCGGUCGUGAAGUUCUGAGUGAGAUUGCUGCACAGACCUCCGAUCGAUCUCUCCGGCAUUCUUCUUCAUUCCAACACCGUCGAGGGAGGUCUGGGAUCACGCCGGGGAGAAGAAACAGUGUCGCCGGCGCUGGAAUGGUGGAGAAACGGCGGAAAUCCGUACAGAAAACCCAUACUAUAUAUAUUGUAAUACCAUGUACUUAAUAUGAAUAAUAAUAAUAAUAAUAAUAAUAAUAAUAAUAAUAAUAAUAAUAAUAACAACGUGUUUACUUUACUAAAUAAAUCAUAGUAAAGCUGAUGUUUUAUCGCAAAAACAUUUAAUAUGUAUAGGCCUACACUGUCUCUCACGUUUAGAUGGGCUUUGAAGCCCAAACCGGUUAUAAGGCCCACAAUUACUCACUGGGCCAUAUUAAAAAGAAUAAGAUAUUUUUUUGGGAGAAAGAUCGAGAAAGAGGGAGACGUGGACUUACACCGACUUAGAAGGAUCGAGAAGGGUAUAGAGCUCUCUAGAUGGAGCUCUCGAGGAGAUAUAGAGAGAAGGUCACCAACUCUCCUCCUUCGGAGGACUCCCGGGACUUUCUUGGGCUUGUAUUAGUGGAGGGGAGGGGAGGGAGAGAGAGGAAGAGCUCUCUAAUAGCGAAAGGGCACAGAUACGUCUCUCUUUCUCAUUCAAUCAACUCUCUCACUUUCACUCUCCCUCUCUCUGUCGGAUUACGGUGAUAACACCGAUCGUGUGAAGAAUGAAAGGGAAGAGAUCCGGUCACUAGCUGUGGGAUAUCGAACUGAAAAGGAAGAUGAUUUCUUGAUCGGGCCUCUGACGAUGAGGUAUCACUCAACAAUUUGAUGUUUAUGUAGCGAUUGAUUUCUUCGGAGGAACACCCAGGUAAUGAUUCAAUGGUAAGAGUGAAUCCAAUUUUAUUUUUAUCAAAGUGCAGCAAAUUUGAUAAUGAAAUGGUAUAGAAUCAAUUACCAUACAUGCUUGUAGAUUCAGAUUAGCUCUCUAAUACCCACCUUAGGUUUGGUAUAAUAUGAGGUCAGGGUGUUACAUAUAUAUACAGCCCGUUUCAGAUACGGACGUCCGCACCGCCUUACGGUGCGGAUUUCCCUCCGUUCGCCACCGUACGGCGAGGGCACGACUGACAGGACCCACUCCGAAUUUCACCCUGAAACCCAAGGUAAAUCCUGCGGGGUCCAUCUUCAAGGAAAAUUUACCGAAAAUUGGGCAUAACCUUCCUUGAAAAUGGACAACCCUUACCUGAAAAAUCCAACUUAACACUUCUAUAAUCAAACAAACCAACCUCAACACCUGGAGCCUUCCUGCUCCUCAAGAUCAACACAUCUCUCAAUAUAACAAUUACUCAACUCUAAUAAUCUCACAACCAAUAAUAAGGACUAUGAAUAAUUUACUAUUGGACUUUCAGAGCAUAUAUAAAGUUGAACGAAAAACAACGAAUAAAAAAUAUGCGGAAGCAGCCUCUGACUAUGCCUCAACUCCAUGUACGCUCGACCUCCUUUAAAACUUAGCCUGCACACUGGGCAUUUGAAACCGAAGGGCCCAGGGAAAAGUAAUAUAAAAACGUUAGAGUGAGUGGACGAAAAAUUAAACAAAUAACUGAUCGCAACAUAACUAACCAAACUUAAUUACUUUUCCAUUUUCCAAUAAUCAAUAAAUCUGUUGCAUGCAAGUGUUGGUAAAACCUUCAUAAAGAAAAUCUCAAAGAAACGGACUAGCCCUGCUAGUCAAAAUAUUGACAAAGAUAAAUACUAACCUUCAUUGAAGAAAAUACCAAAACAAUGGACUAGCCCCGCUAGUCAAAACAACAAUAAAUAAUAAACCGAUUUAACCAUACAAGUGAGCCUCCCAGACACGGUUGCCUCCCAUGCAAAAUACUCCCAUACUCCCUAAACUUUCAUGUCAUGAUAACAGAGAAGGUGCAGGGCUUGCGUGAUGUCGUCGACUACAUCACAUCACCCGAAAAAACGUGGAAGCUACAUCGCCUCGAAAGGCGGAACAACAUGCUAGCAUGAAUAAUAACGAUCCAACAAGUAUUGCAUAAAUAAAGAAACAUAAAUCCAUGUGAGUUUCCCCGAAACUCAUAACUUAAACAUAAGUACGAUUCCUAACCGUACUCAAAGAAUUCAAAGAGUAAAGAAAAUAAUUAAAUUCAAUGACAUGUCCCACACGUUAAAAUGCUCAAUGAAAUAAUUAAUUUAAAUAAUUUUCACCUUUCGAAAACCCGGCAAUAUGCAAAUCUGGAUAUAAUCUCAAAUCCGGAAAUCAUAAAGAAAAUCCAAACUCAAAUCUCAAAUUAUCAAUCCGAGCUCAAAUCCGUAAAUUAUGACCAACAUUUAAUCCAUGCAUCAAUCUCAAAUAAUUUCCAAGAUCAUUUCAUAUGCCGAAGUUAUAAUAUAUGCUCCGAAAAUAAAAUACUAAUUUAUAAAAUCUUGCAUGCAUAUUAAUUAAAAACCAAAAUGUCCACUCACAGAUUUAGGCCUAAGCCUGACGAAUUCUGAAUCACUACUCAAGCGUGGUCUCCUCGAAUCCUGGCACAACAACCAUGCUUAGGACCAAACUUCAAUUCCAGAAAAUAAUUACGUGAAUAAAAAUAUCUAACUCUCUUCCGUUUAACCCACUACUCUUAUUAUGGUUAAACUCACCGGAUUCACAUCAAACUCCACCACAACCUCAAAUCAUCAAUUCUAACAUUCCAAGCUAAAUACCAAGGAAAUUCAACGGCCGGAUUUUCAUUUUAAUAACCGACAAAAUCGUUAAUCUUUUAAAAAUCCCAAACCUUAUCAAAACUCCUCCAAAAAUUCCAAACUAUAUUUCAUUAAACUCCUCUCAUUAUAAAAAACCCAAAAACCUGAAAAUCAACCUCCAAGUGGCAGCGCCGCCGCCUGCUCCGCGGGCAGCGGCGACCAGAAACCGUACUUCGACGGUGACCAAUGCCUCCCAAAUUUUAACAGAAUAAUCCUUUCAUCACGCACAACAACUUUCAUAACUAGCACUUAGUCCAAUUCUAAGCCUAACUAGGGUAAUCGAAUCAAAACAUCUAAAAAUCCCCCAAUUCAAACCCUAGCCCGAAAAUCCUCCUAUACACUUCGAAUUGGAUCAUUACCUUCUAGGGAAAUGUUACACACGGAGAGCACUUCCCAAUGGAACUGAAAUCACUGGAAAUGGUGGCCGGAGGAGCGAGUUCCGGCGUCGGGACUCCACCACGCAGCCAGAGCUUCCGGGUGAGAGCUCUCUCUCACGAUGGCGCUAGGGCAGCUCUCACCGGUUCAGGAAGAAGGCUGGGUCGACGGCCGACCGUUUGGGACCGGUGCGCUGGUCUAUGGUGGCCGGACAGCGGCGGUCGGAGCCGAGGAAUCCGACGGGUUGGGGUAGGCGAGAGAGAGAGAGAGAGAGAGAGAGAGAGAGAGAGAGAGAGAGAGAGAGAGAGAGAGAGAGAGAGAGAGUAGAGAGAGAGAGAGAGAGAGAGAGAGAGAGAGAGNNNNNNNNNNNNNNNNNNNNUGACCCGGUCCACCAUUUAAAAUCCCACUCUAACAAUAAAACACCUCCAAAAAUAAUACCUACUAAAACAAUUAACCUCUCUUUACCAAACAAAGUCUACUCUUUUUAUCUAAUAACUUUUUCAUGCUAACUCCGAUUUUAACGUUUAGCAUGUCUACGAACUCGUAUUAACGUCCUCUACAACUUUCAUGAAGAAAGUUUUCCCAAAUUCCAAACGAAAGAAAAAGUCAACUUUUAGAGUCUUAAAUAGUAAACGGUUACUUAAAACAGUAAAAGAUCAAAGUAACCAAAAAGUAAAUAACCGCAAAUUGACUUAAGAACCGGGAUGUGACAGCGCCUCCACCCCAGCGGACUCCAGCAGCUUCCCGGACCUCUUUCCAUCCCCGGCGAGUCCGCCGAAUUCCAGCUUUCCGGCCAGAUUGACUUUGUUGGAAGUUUUGGGUGAUCUUGCCGGAAAACUGGAAUUCGGCGGACUCGCCGGAGAUGGAAAGAGGUCGGGAAAGCUACUAGAGUCCGCUAGGGUGGAGGUGCGCCCUCGCCGGUGCUCGCCGGUGCUGUACGAUGGCGAAAUGAGGGACAUCCGCACCUGAUAACGUAUGUAUAUAUACAGGAAUUCUCAGGUGCGGAUGUCCGCACCAAAACUUUGGUGCGGAUGUCCAUUUUUGCACCACUUUUCGAUCGAAUUUUCUCAUCUCUACCGUCUAGUAUCUAGAUAAUAUUGUGUAGAUCAUCUCUACAAAAUUUUAGCCAAUUUGGUGAUCGUUAAGGCCCUCAAACUCGAAAAACAAAUGGACGGACUGAAUUCUGUCCGGUUGUGUUCAUACCAGAAAAACUCGAGUUUGAGGGCCUUAACGAUCACCAAAUUGGCUGAAAUUUUGCAGAGAUAAUCUACACAAUAUUAUCUAGAUACUAGACGGUGGAGAUGAGGAAAUUUGAUCGGAAAGUGGUGCAAAAAUAGAAAUUCGCAUCGAAACCUUCGGUGCGGACGUCCACAGCCAAGAAGAGCUAUAUAUAUAUAUAUAGUCAUGGAUUAGAAUGUACUAAAAUGGUUUACAAAGUUUCUUUUACUAUUACUUCAAAAUUAGAGUACGUAAUACAAUGGGUUAGGGUUUGUAUCGGUGUCAUUUUGGCCACGACUAUUAAUACAAUGGGUUACAAUGUCCGCCUUUGCUUAAAAAAAAAAAAAACCUUUGAAAUUAGAGUACGUGUAUAGCUCAUAAAGUGUGAACUUCAACAACUAAUCGAGCUCUAACAUUAAUCGUAUUUCUUUCAAACGAAAGAGCUCUAGUCACCUCAUAGUACUGGAUUGCAAUUCUUUGGCUAGAUUAUUAAGCAUCAAUGUACAUGGCACGUCACUAGUAUAUAGAAUAACUUUGUCACAUAUUUUGUAAAUACCAUGUAAUUGUCUCAUUUCAAAAUCUAUAUUGUCACGUUGUAAUAAUGUCGAUUUUUUCUUCAUUCGCGCACAAAUGUAAUAUUCUCUUUUAGUAGUUUCUCUUAUCCGAAUUAAUUUUGACUUCUACGUCUCAUUAGAUAACUUUAUGUCAUGAUCCGAACAGUUCNNNNNNNNNNNNNNNNNNNNGAGAGAGAGAGAGUCUCAUUGUAAAUAUAGAUAAAUAUACAUAUAUAAAUGUGUACCUCUGUAUAAUUCCUUGGUUUUUCAAGAAUUUUAGUCCUGUAUUAUCGCCUGGGGUUCUGCAGAGAGGCAGAGAGAAACACCAUGAGUCUCUUUGGUCUUAGAAGCAGGUAGGUACUUGCUAUGAUAAUUAAUGAGUUCAAAGUUUGGAAAAUCUGAUUCUGGUUUUUCAUUUCAUGCAAUAUAUUCUCAAGAAUGGAUGAUUAGACCAGAACGCGUAUGGGUUCUGAUGACUACCUACAUAUGCCUAUUUAUAAUCCCUUUGGCUUUAGAAUGAUAACUCGGAUUCCCUAUCUUGCGAGGAUAUGGUUUUGCUUAGUUAUGGACUCCUUUUUUGAUAAGGAAAUUGAAAGUAAAGUAGUUAUUUACUGGUUUCGAGUAAGGAUUGAAAUUCACACUGGUGAGAAACUAAUUCCGGUUGGACUUAGGAGACAGUAGAAAGAAAUUGAUGAUCUUUGAUGAGUAAUUUAAUGUUGAAGGCACACAUUAUCACAAGUUCAAUUUUAAUAUUUUCAUGUCAUCAAAUAUAUGCAUAUAUAUUUCAAAUGUUACGAGUGGAGACUCGCAUAUAGCACCAACAGUGGAGGGAGAAUGAUCAUUUUGGCGCUAGAUGUUUUCAACUAGACCCUCCAAUAUCUCCUACCAGCUUCUACAUCAUUGCUCACCAAAAGUUGCUUCAAUGUAUGGCUGUAUGCUGCAUAUUUUGGCGGUAGAGUUGAAUUUGAAUAUUCAAAUCUAGAGGCAAUGAGCUAGGCGGUUGGGCCACGUGGCUAGGCGGAAAGGCUUUACGGCCGCAUUUCCAUAGAAAUGACGGUUUCACUUAAACGCACCGUUUUGCACCCAAUUAACGAUAAUCAGCCUACUGGAACACGCGCACUAUGCACUCUAUACUGGAAGCUCACGCGCAUCGCAUGACGGGGAUAGUUGCCAGAGAAGCUGAGGCGGCAGCGACGGUGGUAUCGAGACAGCGAUGAAAGUCAUAGGACAUGAGGCGGGAUGUGUAAACCACCUGCUCCUCUCCUUUUAAUCAUUCUGUUAUGGAAAGAUUUCCACAGCAAGUAACCGUGAGAUGGACUGGCCUGGAGGGACUGGCCUGGAGCCAAAAAUUAAAAGACCCAGAUUUAGAAUAGAUCAAAUGAACGUAAUAAUAGAACUUCCCCAGAAAAAUGACUUAAUCGGUUUCGAAGUCAACCUUCGUAUAUCAGAAUUUGCUGGCUGCUGCGUUUCAUGCUAUAAAACAAAAGCAUAAAUACAAUUCAAUUAGAAGAGAAUGAAAAGGAGGGAGAUAUGAAGGUUUACAUGAGCAAAUUUAUACUGAAAAAACAAAACGGAAGAUGAUUGGAAGAUGAACCAACCAACCUGAAUCUUCAGCCUUCCUUGAAGCCCUAAUGCAAUCGUGCAACCCUGUUUUUUUCAUAAGUCCACCUGUUUAUUUCCUGCAAAUGAGAAGUGACCUAUUACACUCCAUUUCAUUCCGAGCAAGAACUACCAUAAAAUCAAAUGAAGCCUGGCCAGUGUUAUACAAUGAACUAACUCUUCAAUUUCAGGCCUAAUAUAUGUCAAUAUAGGUGGUUGAUAUUAAAACUCAAAUAAAACAUCUUCCAUUAAUCAAAAACUGAGUUUGAGUUGAAGUUAUUAUUGUUGUCAAAGUAAUGAAGAUCACACAGAUACUUCAUUAGCUUUACUGUUUGAAUAUGAUGAAACAAAAUAUCUGCGAUAUUUUGCAUAUUCGAAUAUUUGGCUUAGUGUGAUGGAAGAUCUAUACCGAUGGACACUGGCCUUCCAAUUUUGAUUUUAUACAUCACUGUGAUGUACUCUCCCAAUGUCACCAUGAUCAUAUCCAAAAACAUAAAUGCAAACUUUCAAAGUCUGUAAUUGAAAGGUUUUGUGACAAUACGAAAUAAUGGAGAAUCACCUUAUAGCUCUAUAACACCAGUUUCUCGAGCUUUUACACAGACAUCAAUCAUCUCAUUUUACUUUAUAAUAAAAAUAUUCCAGUUUCAGUAAUUAAAUAUCAGUUUUUCUAUCCUUCUCUGCUAACCAAAACCACCAAAACACAGUUGAACUAAAGAAAACAAUUACUAAUAGAAUCAAACCCCAAUAGUGAAACAUAGCUGCAAAACUAAAAAGAAAAGAGUAGUAAAAAGACAUACCCUUGAAUCAUGUAGAAGGAAAAGAACACAGAGCUUCAAAACAGUAACCGACUCCCAGGGGCUUUGAUUGGAACCUACAAAAACAGAAAAAUAUUGAUAAGAUUCGAUGUAAAAUCCAACUAACACCUUAAUAAAAUUGAUAUUAUACUAACAGCUUGUUCAAUCCAUCACAACUAUAUUCUAAUACUUUUGAAAAGGCUCCUUUCAAUUUCCUUUACUAUUUUCACAAUGACAGGAUCAAUUUCUUCCUACAUGUACCUGUCUACCUUCAUGCAUCAGUUGACUCGAUCAAUACUCCUACUACUAAGCUAGCUAGUUGGUUAGUUAUCCACAAAGUACAGAUAUAAUCACACCAGAUUCAUGACCUAAAAGUUUUGGUGCCUCAUAUCUCAGAUUGAGUUCGUACUGUGUCCUUUCGAAGUUUUUAUUUUUUGUCUUCUUCUCUUAAUAUUUUCAUUUUCCUUAACUUAUAUAACUACUAUACUGUUAUGAUUUUGUCAUGCCUUACACCUGAUUAGUAUGGAUUAAUGAUAUAACACUAAGCAAUGACAUCAUGACUGAAAAGGAAAGGUGCAUACUUCCAUACGUCUUUCUACAGAGCCAAUCAAACCAAAACUUAGAUUAUCACCUCCUAUGUAACUUAGCAACAUGCGAACAUGAUUUCAAAUAAAUCAACCGAUAAGAUACAUGUAUUUAGAUCCUCACAUUAACACUGAAGUUUGGUUGGUAUACAUAAAGCCCUCUACUGGUUGCAAUGGUUACCUGUGCAAGAAAUAGACAUCAGACAACAUGAUAAGCUAAGUUCACUUUUAUGUCUUACUACUCUAGACGGAACUUAGGAAUUUCCAUCAAUACUCUACUGUAAAUGAAAAUUGAAAGCCAUUACUAAACCAUAUUUACAGAAAAAUGAGUAAUGAAAAGUAUCCAUUAUUAGUUAUUCACAGAAAGAUGAGUAAUGAAAAGUAUCUAUUAUUAGUUCUACUUCUACCAAUCGAAGUAUAGAUCCAGAGUAUCCAAAACUCAAAAACUUUUUAAUUGAUUAAAUUUUUUUCUUAUAACAGAUAUGUAGAUGAUGGUGAUAUUGCAGUUAGUGCAACACCUUAAAUAUUAAGUUUUUAUCUGAAUCUCUCUACAGGGAAGAUCCAUACUUCUACAACAUCCCUUCAUAAAGCCACUCAAAUAUCUCCAACCACAAUAAGCAUCACAUUUCUUUCCUUCAAAUAAAAAACUAAACAACUUCAAUACCGCUCAAACCAGAAAUUUGUACACAAAUUUCAUUUGACAACUUUUAAUUGAAUCAGCUCUUAUGCUUUUUUCUUUCUCUUAAUGCUUUUAACUAAGAGCAAAAUAGAUUCUAAAGAGCAAAAUAAUUUUGGAUCUGUGACUGAGUAUUGGUUGAACAUGGUGUUCCUCUAAUUGUUUGAUCUCUUAUGUGUAAUUUUUUGUGUUGUUUCUACUGCUGUGGAGUUUUUAACAAUUCAACCAAAUCAAAAGGUUACCUGGAGCUCAAUCCCUCCAAUAUGACAAUCCACUCCCCAUCCCCAUAUUAACCCAAUCUAUGAUAAGCAAAUCCAAUUCCUUCCCACACUUAUCCGAUUCUUAAAGAAAAGAAAAGAAAACCCAAAGCAAUUGAAAAUAUCAAUACGAAUCUAUAAUCAAACAAUCGAUUACGCAGAGCGGAAGAAGUACCUAUUUUGGUGUAGAGAAAGCUCCCCCUCGUGAGAACAGCAAUCGAUCGAUCAGCCAACUGUAGUCUCUCCCUCUCUCUGAAAUUAUUUGAAGCCCUAAAACUAAUCAAACACAAAACUCAGAGAAAGUGAUCCUCACCCUACUAAUCGCAGUUAUAUCACGCAGAGGGGUUCUUGGGUACCAAGAAGGCAACACACUGUUCAAUCUAGGCUGGAAAGAGAGGGAAGAUCGAUGAAGGAAGCGACGAAAGAGAUCGAGAGAGAGGAAGAAAAGGAAAACGGCGAGAUGGGAUGGAGGCCCAAGCCCAAUUAUAAAAAAACAGUAAGGCGGCGCGAGGCCGCAUAAUAUUUAGUUCAAUAGUACCACUGAGAGUUCAGACCUUCUCCAUCACACCAUGACAACAAAGGUAAGUUAAGUAAAUUAAGGUACAUCGAUGACAAAAGGAAUUAGAGCUGGACGAGCAAUCCUUAGUCACCUUCUUAUUCGAUAAUCGAUACUGAUCUCGUGAGGAGAUCGAUGCCUUAUUAGUUAGUGCCACCAAAGACAGCCUUCAAUCUCCUUGUCUCAUGAGUGCUGAUGAAAGUAGUGCGAUUUAUAAAUUCAGUAGACAAUGUGCUAUUAAAUAGUGAAUUGUCCACCGUCUGAAUAUGCAGACUUUCACUACUGUAGCUAGCAAAUGCAACGACUGGAUUAUAUUUAGCACCUCCAAUAUUCACAAAGCCAUGCAAUAACGCAUUAGGGAUGACAAACAGAUCACCACUCUUGAUAACUGUCUGAUAAACUGUGUUUGUAUCCGACGAAAUGAACGCGGCAAUCAGUUUCCCUUUCACAAGAAGAAAGAUCUCAUUUGAUCCGGGGUGUUUAUGCAAAGGGACAACCCCACCGGGUGCCAAGUCUAUACGAGCCAUUGAAAGGCCAAGGCCGUUCAAAGAAGGAACCUCAUUGUAGGACGCUACGGUAAUUGUACCUCUGAAAAUGUUUGAGGUAUUACCGGCAACGCCUAGGCCCGAGUAUACGAAAUCAUCUACCGUAACAUUUUCAGGCCUUUUGCAGGAGUAGCCUGAUGGAUUAGAAGGAGCUGUGUAGUCUGCAACGCAAAAGUCUUGCACAGCAGCAUAGGAGGUGGAGAGAAUGAAAGAAAACAUAAAGAUGAAGAAAACUGCCAUCUAGCUUUGAUCAACUGUCUGGCUAGUUUUCGA